This 337-nucleotide ribosomal RNA is filed under the name Odontepyris formosicola. RNAcentral describes it as "eukaryotic LSU rRNA". It matches the Rfam family "Eukaryotic large subunit ribosomal RNA", at positions 639 to 947 of the family's 3401-position model. Lineage: Eukaryota; Metazoa; Arthropoda; Insecta; Hymenoptera; Bethylidae. The record is from RNAcentral.
UUUGCCCCCCCCCUUUUAACACGGACCAAGGAGUCUAACAUGUACGCGAGUCAUUGGGACCGCAUACCUAAAGGCAAAAUGAAAGUGAAGGUCGACCUCGCGUCGACCGAGGGAGGAUGGGUCGCGUUACGAUGCGACCCCGCACUCCCGGGGCGUCUCGUUCUCAUUGCGAGAAGAGGCGCACCCAGAGCGUACACGUUGGGACCCGAAAGAUGGUGAACUAUGCCUGGUCAGGACGAAGUCAGGGGAAACCCUGAUGGAGGUCCGUAGCGAUUCUGACGUGCAAAUCGAUCGUCGGAACUGGGUAUAGGGGCGAAAGACUAAUCGAACCAUCUAG